Molecule: ribosomal RNA, 274 nt
Filed under: uncultured bacterium
Lineage: Bacteria
Description: partial 16S ribosomal RNA
Rfam family: Bacterial small subunit ribosomal RNA
Source: RNAcentral
AUACGGAGGGUGCGAGCGUUAAUCGGAAUUACUGGGCGUAAAGCGUACGUAGGCGGUUUGCUAAGUCAGAUGUGAAAGCCCCGGGCUUAACCUGGGAACUGCAUUUGAUACUGGCAGACUAGAGUACGAUAGAGGGGGGUAGAAUUCCUGGUGUAGCGGUGAAAUGCGUAGAUAUCAGGAGGAAUACCAGUGGCGAAGGCGGCCCCCUGGAUCAAUACUGACGCUGAGGUACGAAAGCGUGGGGAGCGAACAGGAUUAGAAACCCUAGUAGUCC